AGCACACAGGAGCUUGCUCCUUGGGUGACGAGUGGCGGACGGGUGAGUAAUGUCUGGGAAACUGCCCGAUGGAGGGGGAUAACUACUGGAAACGGUAGCUAAUACCGCAUAACGUCGCAAGACCAAAGAGGGGGACCUUCGGGCCUCUUGCCAUCGGAUGUGCCCAGAUGGGAUUAGCUAGUAGGUGGGGUAACGGCUCACCUAGGCGACGAUCCCUAGCUGGUCUGAGAGGAUGACCAGCCACACUGGAACUGAGACACGGUCCAGACUCCUACGGGAGGCAGCAGUGGGGAAUAUUGCACAAUGGGCGCAAGCCUGAUGCAGCCAUGCCGCGUGUAUGAAGAAGGCCUUCGGGUUGUAAAGUACUUUCAGCGAGGAGGAAGGGGAUGUGGUUAAUAACCGCAUUCAUUGACGUUACUCGCAGAAGAAGCACCGGCUAACUCCGUGCCAGCAGCCGCGGUAAUACGGAGGGUGCAAGCGUUAAUCGGAAUUACUGGGCGUAAAGCGCACGCAGGCGGUCUGUCAAGUCGGAUGUGAAAUCCC
RNAcentral lists this ribosomal RNA (543 nucleotides) under Citrobacter gillenii. RNAcentral's name for it is "bacterial SSU rRNA". It matches the Rfam family "Bacterial small subunit ribosomal RNA", at positions 68 to 603 of the family's 1533-position model. The record is from RNAcentral. Lineage: Bacteria; Pseudomonadati; Pseudomonadota; Gammaproteobacteria; Enterobacterales; Enterobacteriaceae.